CUUUUUUAAUAUUUCAGUCCCUUUACUUGGCUUUAUUCAUUUUCCUCACUUCCAAAACAAAAAUUUAAUGGAAAAAUCAAGUCCUUCAAAAUGGACCAAAAACAUAUACCGACUCCCAAUUGUAAUUUCACCAAUGAUCAGCAACAAAACAAUCACGAGUGACUAGCAAGGGUCAUUCAAUCCUAAUAUUAUCUGCAGUGAUGAAGACAUCAAGAAAGCAAUGGAGAGUACUGCACAAGGUUUUCAUACAAUGGAAAAACCUGUGACGUUAUUUCAACAUUGACCAUUCAGUUUAUGGGGAGUAAGAAUCCACCUUCAGUUCUGUGAAGCUCCAUUUCCCCUCAUUCCCAAACAUGUCAAAAGCCUAUCGCUUCUCACUUCUCUCCGAAUUGUACGGAAAUCUUUUUUCUUUCAAAUCAUUUUCCCCUUUCUCCCAUUUAAGCGUCACUUAUUUGAAGCAACUCAAAAAGUCUUAUAACAGGAAGCGAAGAAUAAACGAGAAGCUUAAUAUGCUUUACGAUUAUAUUGUUGACUGCAACAAAAUUAAACCACUACAAGUUAACUGUACGUUCAUCGGACAGGGAUUGAGUAGCCUCUUAAAGAGGUCAGACAUCUCCCGUGUCAUUUUCAAGAAGAUUUUUUAGUGCCGCAAAAUGAAUUAUGCUAGGUAAUUGUAUAUUUGAGGGUUGCUCUUGUCUCGCAACAGGUACUCCCUGUCGAUGAGGCUCUCUAUCCUUUUCUUCAAAUCCGCUGGCUUGAUAGGAAACUUAAGCUGUUAAACAUAAGAAACAAAAUUUUCAUCAAAAUCAUAGUUCAUUUUGAUACAGCUUAAAAAAUGGGUUAGUUGACAUCCUCCGGUCAGUUUACUCAGGUCACUGAUGGCUGGUUUAAUUGCAAUGUUAACACUUUUCAAUCCCCAAUGAAGAAACAGGUCAGAACUCAGAAUACAAUUAAAAUGCAUUUUGGAUGGGAAAUUUGAAAUCCAGGAUCUGAACGAGUAUAUGAAUCAAAUUUUAUAAUUUGAGAUUUUGACUUGGAAUGUGUGUGGCUUCCAUAUUACGUUGAUUCAGUUUACAUGCUCGAGGCAAAUAAAAUGGAAUAUACUUAUCUGUUGGAAGAGUUCAGUAAUCAGAAGUGUGUGACUUAGUACUUUCCUUGUCUUCAUUAUCCGAACAAUAGCAGCAUCAACCUGGUAUUGUCGGUCUUGAAAUACUCUCUCAGUGGUGCUUGUGUUCUCCUCUACAGUUUCCUUCAUCUGGAUUGCAUUGACCUUUAUACGAUAUAGAGGAGCAGUAAAUCCCUCAUUGAAAACAAAUAAAUCAUCAUCCUCCACAUCCCUCCCUUUAGGCAGCUUUUGCAGGACACGAACUUUUCCACAUGCAAGGGACUGCAAAGUCCGUCUCAGUUCUUUGUCCUCUAUGCUAGUGGCAUCCUUAAUAUCUUGAAAGCUAAGCUUUUGGGCAUCAUUAAACAACAUCAAAACGACAGUCUGGCACACAACACAUAAAGCCCUGAACUAUUAGAAUGCGUCCACUUGUGCAGGUCAUGGAGAAAUCACAGGAGCAAAGAGAAAAGACCAUGAAAAAGUAAAGGGUAGAAGACUAUGAAACCAGCCUGAAAUAGAGAAACUGCCAGCUCCUUUUUACCUUUCGGAAAUUCAGCUUUCAACACACAGUGACCCAAUGAAUUUUGCCACAUUAAGCGCCUGCCACUAUAUUUACUUAAGUAGAAUUCUUUGAAAAUAUCCUGUAGCAUAUAGGGAAUUAGGCAUCAGAUGAUCAUUUAUUGAAUGCUCAUAAAGACUAUUUGACUUGUAAAAAAAAAACAGCUACUGGGUAACUUGUGCACAACCUGAUAGACAUUUAGCUCGUGAGGAAGCCUAACAUCCAUGGGCGGAUAUAUAGGCCAGUACCUGCAACCAACUCAACAAACCAAGAAUCAAAAAUUGAGGCACCAUGUAUUGGCUAACAAUACAAUGCAUACUUGGAAUCUAAAAUCGGCUUCUAAACCUACCCUGUUGUUAAAACAUGGACACUCAUCUCAAUCCCCGAUGGAAGUUUUGUCCUUGCCUGGGAUGAUUGUUUGAAGGAUUCAUUUAUCUCCUUUGAAAGUUCAAUAUCCUUAAACAUUCCUUCAAGUUUGUUUGUAAACUGGCUGCCGCACUCGGUCUUCAGCUUUGAUAUCAUAGAUUUUUCUGCAUCGAUAGAAGCACUUUUUCCCAAUAGUAGUCUUUUAGCAAGAUCUUUCUUAUAAAAUGCUUCAAACACAUCCUUGCCCUGAAUAAACCUGAACAAAACCAAAACUUUAUCAAGCGUACCCUCCAACUCCUCUUCAGAGGUUCCCUUAUUUCCAGCACGAAGCUUCUCAUCCAGAAACUUUGCAAUCAGCUCAGCCGGCCGGUUCUGACGAAGAUUAAUUAGAUGUUCAAAUGCAUCUUUUAUCGUAUUGCAAAAUGCUUCAUUCUUAGAAAAGCUUUCUUCCCAUAUUGUGUCAAGAGAAGCCUUAAAUUCUAACAAGGAUGAAACCAUAUCCUUAUCUUUUUCUUCAUCCAUGAUAAUGCCUUGUCCAGUUCUUCGAAUGUAUGAGCUAAGAGCCUGCCUUAAUGAUUCAAGGGCAUUGACCCUUAAGAAUAAUGAGUACAUUCUCUUAAGAUCCUCAGUUCUAUGGCCAUCCAUUAGCAUCAUGAACCCCUUAUCCAGAAUUGCAGAUAUAUGACGUUCAAGAAGCUGCCUUUCAGCAGUUGCUAUUAGAGGCUUUCUAGUACUUGCAUCAAGAUAGAGUAAGCAUCUUUCAUGUUCUUCAUGCAACCUCAUCUCCACAUGCUUCAAGUAAUCUGGAACAUCCGAUUGCUGCAUGUAUUUCAUGCCUUCAGCAGCAUAAAAUUCAGAUGUGCAAUCCAGAAAUGGUCUUUCAAAGCUUUCAGCAUAAAUUCCUAAAGCAGUAAACAUCUUCAAAAGAUGGUUUAGGAGAGUUCUAUCAACAGAUUCACCCAAUCUUUCCCUCUCAAUCAUUCGCAAAAGGCCUGUGACAGUUUUGUGCUCAACUUCAGGAGACAAAGCAAGAUGUUUCCGGAAAAGGUGCAAACCCAUGUCCCACAAUGAACGUACAUUUGGGGUUUGUUUCACAUAUGUUCUAUCUAGAUACAAGGCUAUACCACGAAUCAUCAGCAUUUGGUCACAUAGAUCUUGCCAGCAUCUCUCAACCAGUGAUAAGAAAACCACCAAAUCUGGGCUUUGACCAACCAAAGAUUGUAAUACUGCAUAAAUAUGGGAUUCACAUUCUUUUUCAAUUCGCUGAUAAAGAUUACCACCCAUCUUGUGCAGACAAAGAUCAUUGACAGCCUGAUAAAGCUUCUCCAAGUCACAGGAAUCUGGUUGCUUCAAGAAUAUAGCUUUAAUAGCUGACUGCAGCUUUGCCCAUGUAUCCACCUCAAAAUGUGCAGGCAGUGUUGGUUUAGCUUUCACGAGCUUGAUGACAAGCUUCUUCGCGGGCUGAGGAGGAGUGGCUUUUUUGCGAGAUAAAUUUGCGGCUGGGGGAGGAGAGCGGUCGUCAAGCUUGGGAUCGUCAUCGAGAGUCAUGGAAGAGGGGUCGAAUACGACGUCGUUAUCGGCAGCAGUGCUGGGAAUGAAGUUAUGGAGGCCGUUUUUGUUACAAGAUGGGUCGAGAGAGGAGCACGCAGAGACAGCCUGAGACUUGGCCUUCUUCAUAGGAGGAAAAUUAGCUGUGGCGCUGGCGGAGGAGCUAGAGGUGGUGGCGGUGGCAGAGCGUUUGGUGGGGAGAGACAUUAACAAAAAAGGUGAUCUCCUAAGAGGGCAUUGUAUAAAAGUAAAAAAUGAAAAAUAAAAUGAGAGAAGGGAUAUGAUUAUGAAGAUAUGGGAAGAAAUAGAGCUAGAAGGGGAG
This 3900-nucleotide unclassified non-coding RNA is filed under the name Hevea brasiliensis (rubber tree). The record is from RNAcentral. Lineage: Eukaryota; Viridiplantae; Streptophyta; Magnoliopsida; Malpighiales; Euphorbiaceae.